Long non-coding RNA from Mus musculus (house mouse), 8276 nucleotides. RefSeq annotates it as predicted gene, 52707. Lineage: Eukaryota; Metazoa; Chordata; Mammalia; Rodentia; Muridae. The record is from RefSeq and is a predicted model, not a curated record. The transcript is spliced from 2 exons.
CCCGCCUGUGGAGGGAGAUGCCUAUCAUUUCUGCUCCUGCUCCAGUCACCCCAGGUCACCACCCUCAAUCCAAACUCCAAGCCCUCCCCCAAAAAUGGAAGGAAGGCUGUUGUGAUGAGGAACCUACAAAUCAGUGGCCACCAAUCCAUACACAGGAAACCAAUUAAAUCCUUGGAGCUGGUAGGUACCCACUAUACCUACUUUUUGCACUGACACUAAACAGCCAGUAGCAGUCAAAAUAUUUAACUGCCUGUACCUAUGACCAGAAGAGAUGCUGGAAUACUCCAAGCAGCGCAGACACUGACCUACAGACCCCAGCUUUGGGGCCCUGGUGUUGGUAGCUUUUGACCAAGGCAUUCAGAAACAUUUUGUUAUUUCUUUUGUUUGGAAUUUUGCUGGUUUGAGACAAGGUCUCCCUGUGUUCCCCCAGGUUGACCUGGAACUCACAAUGGAUCCCACACAGUGAUCCUCCCGCCUCAACUUCCCGAGUACUGGUAUUAUAAGUGUUGACUCACCACACCCAGCUUACAAUAGAGUAUUCUAGAAACACUGUCUAGGCUGGUUUGCCCUGGCUGUACGGUAUUUCCUGGACCUGCAGAAUAAUGAGUACAUGGAGCUCAAAGAGGGUCCCAGGUCACCCAGCUUCAGAGUGGCAGAGCCAGGAUGUGGCCCAGGGCUGCACCAGCUCCAAGAAGCCGCCUGGGAGCAGCUUGGAAUGGUGGGGGCGUACAGCGCUGGAGGAGACUUCACCCCUGGGGACCCCAAUGGCUCAGCCCAGAGCCUGGCCAGACAGUCUGCCAGAGGCAGUGGAGCUGAAUUAAGUUGUUGGCAGGGAUGGCACCGGGGCCUGAACGUUUCUUGUCUUUAAGUUAAUUAUAUGCAAAUCCUAUGCAAAACAGAAAGUCAAUUGGCCUUGUUCAUUUUUACCCACUCUGAGUUCAGAGUAGGGGCUCUUUUUCUGCAAGGAAGUCAAUGAGCCCCUGUGAAACAGAAGGUGGGGGGCAGACAAGACUUUAAGGAGUGGGAGUUAGGUGGCGGGUAGGGAGGGCAAAGGGGAACAGAAGUUGAAAUAGUCUGGGAAUUAGAGAACCUCAAAGAAAAGGUCCAUGGGUCUUUGUCUACCUCCACCUCCUCAUGGUCAAAACAGACCAGGGUCCUAUGGGACAUCUCCAGGGGCCUGUCCAGUUUCCCAGGAGACUCUCCCAGCCUCCCCCCAACCCCUACAACUUCAACCUUCCUCCUGUGGCCCAGGCCUUCUCUCCAAGCCUGCCUGCCUGCUUCCUUCCAGCUGGCAGGCUGCCUGCUGGGAGCCUGUUGCCAUAGAAACCAGACCCAGAAGGAUGCUGCAGGACUCAGGAAAGAGAGAUGCGCUCGCUCGUGUGCAGUCUCCAACGAGCCCUAUGUCCCCACCCCCACCCAGAGAGAGGAAAAAAACCCAUAUUUCCGUUGCUUCCCAUAUGCCCUUCACCUUGGUAUCUGCCCUGGGCACCGUUCAUGUUCACUACUGGCCCAGGGCUACCUCCUAUCAGAUACCUCUGCUUUCAUUCAGGACAGCAAAAGGGAAGGAGGUACCCGGGACCAGGGAGCACACCUGAGUUCUAAUGCUGGCUUUGUCACUGUGCCUUAGGGAAGUUUUCCAUGCAGGCCAUCUAAUAUGUAUGAAGUUGCAUGUAAAAUACAGUCAAGUAGCCCCCAGUGGUGGUGUACACCUUUAACCCCAGCAACUCAGGAGGCAGAUGCAGGCAGGUAUCUGUGAGUUCCAGGACAGCCAGGACAAAGAACAAAUAGUCCGAUUUUAAAUGUACUAUAUAUAAAUACAUAUACAUGACAAAUACCAUAUACACACAUAUAAAACCAUAGGAAUGUGGUUUAAUGUCCCGUAGGAAUAGGACAAUCCUUGCCAAUGUAUUUCCUGUCUAAAUAUCUUGUGUAUGUUAAAAAUCUGGAGCUGAGCAAUCCCUGCCCAGACCAGUAUUCCUAAGGGUAAGCUCUUUUGGGUCAUCCCCUUGCUCAAAACCCUUCCCCAUGCCUCCCCACUACCAGCAGGGGAAAGCUCAAACUUGGUGUUAGCCCUGACCUGACUCUGGAUGCACCACAUCUUCAGCCUCCUCUCUGCUUUCUCCUUUGACCCCCCUAAAAUAGAUUACAUCCUGACCACCGACUUCUCUGAGUUCCCCUGCCUGAGAUGGCCUUUUUCAUUCUGGCUUCCUGACAUUCUCUGCUCAAGCCCCUGACUGCCCUCAAGAUCACUCGUCAGCUCUGCAGCCCCUCAGCAGUCCUCCUGCAUUUAGAACAACCCCACUAUUUUGAUUAGUCUCUCUUUCUGAUAACAGCCAGGUAUGGCUGGCUAUACUCUCUUGGUUCCCUAGGAAUACUUGUGCUUUUGAACUCCAGUUGGCCCUCUAGUUCCUUCUAAGCACCAGCGUUUGCCAACACUGGGGGUCACGAUAUGUUUUCCCAACAACUACAUUUCUGAAGAGGUACCAUCUCAACGUGUUUCCCUGCUGCCUGGGCUCUCCGCUCCCUGAUCUGCAAUAAAGGAACAAGCCACAGACUCCUGUCAUCAUGCCUGCCCCCAGUGACAGCCUGCACUCUCUGAAACUCCAACCCAAAGUAAAGUUUUCCUCCUUGAAGUUGCCUCUGGAAGGUCAUUCCCCAUUCAACACACUAUGCUCUUGGGCUCCACUGGUCUGACGCCUUCAUCUGACCUCUGGGAAGUCCUGAAAGGAUUCCACUCAUCGGACUCCACACUAUCUAGGACAGAAACACCAAAUACACUAGGCUUUGUGGGUCUAAGCCCCCCUCCUCAGGAAACCAUCUCAACCCAUAUAUCCCAAGGUAGGCUGAGGGAGCUGAGAAGCUACUGUGCUCGGUGAAGCAUGGCCCUCAGAUAUCAUCCCCAGCUAAAAGUGCACAGGACAGGCAGGAGCCAGCCAUCCUUGAGAACUAGGCAUUAGUGUGGGACCAGAUCAUAAUAAGAGAACAUUGCAUCUAAAACCCCAAGGACACCUGGACACUUCACAGGUAGGUGAACACAGUACAAUACAUAGCAAGAAUGACCCAGAGAGGAUAGGGAGGGGGCAGAGUCAGGAGAAACUGAGAUGGCUCAGUAGGUGAAAGUGUUUGCUGCCAAGCCAUAGAACCUGAGUUCAAACCCCCAGGUCCCGCAGAGUGUAAGAAGAGAAUCAACUCCUUCAAGUCCUCCUCUGGCAUUCCAUGGUGCAUAGGUUCACAUGCACGUGCAUAUGUGUGUGUAUACAUACAUAUAGAUAAAUGUAAUUUCAGAAAAAAACAAAACAACAAAAACCCCACUAAGCCAGGAGGAGUAUGUAAAGGCAGACAGAGGGGAGGAAGGCCUCCAGAAGCUUCCAGCAAGGGUAAGCAGCUGAUUGGAAACAAAGGUUAGCCAAGGCUCUGCUGGCCACAGCCAGAGCAGGUUCAGUGGGAUGUGGGAGCCAGUGUGGGCUGCAUCGGCUGCCAGGAGGUAGGGGAAACUAAUUAUAAAACAAGCUCAUCGAAGAUUGUCUCUGAGAAGCUGGCAGCAGUAAGAGGGAUGUCCAUCGAAGGAGGAGAGCUUGCUUUGUGGGGCUCUCUGUAGACAUCCUGGAGGGAAGGGGUUUGUGCAUCAGUGUUUUGCCUGCAUGUAGGUCUGUGUGGGGAUAUUGGAGCCCCUGGAGUUACAGACAAUUUUGAGCUUCCACAUGGGUGCUGGGAAUUGAACCUGGAAGAACAGUCAGUGCUCUUAACCACUGAGCCACCUCUCUAGCCCCAAGAGGUCCCUUUCUUAGUCCCUGGCAGGUAGACUACCUUCCAUGGCAAAGGGGGUUUUGUGGACUUGCCCAGGUUCAGGCUCCUGAGAUGAGAUGAGUAUCUUAGAUUAUCCGGAUUUGAUGAUAAGAGUCAACUGUCUGGGUUUCAGACUCACUCAGGACGAAUACCCCUGGGCACGCCAGUGAGGCCACUUCUGGAGGUGUCUCACUGAGGAAGGACAGUGCCAUCCUAAGCAAACUGAAAGCCGGUUAGGCAUCUUGUUAUUUUGGGCAUUCGUCUCUUGGCUUCCUGACUGUGGAUGCAGUGUGGCCAGUCGCCUCAGGCCCCUGCUGUCUGCCUUCCCUGCCUUAAAGGACCAUGUCCCCUAAUCACAGAGAACGCUUCCUUCCUUAAGUUGCUUUAAUAGAUACUUUAUAACAGCAACGAGAGGAGAGAGAUGUGCCAGAUGGGUGCAGAUUAAUCACAUGGGUCAUUUUAAAUAAGAGAGGAAGGGCAGGAAGGAGAUGGAGAAAGAAAACCGCAGGAAGGAGAUAAAUGGAGGUCUGGUAUAUGGCUCAGGGGAAGACUUCUUGCCUCACAUGCACACGUGUGAAGCUCGGGGUUCAGUCUCCAACAUCACAAAAAUAAAGAGGAGAAUAAACAGUAAAAAGCAUCAAAAUGGCUUCUUUCUUGAUCCUCUAGAAGGGACAUUGUAUUGCUAACACUUUGAUGUUAGCCCAGGUAAAUCUAGGAACAACUUCUGAGCCCCAGAAAUGUAGGAUAUCUAGAUAUAGGCACAGAUAGAUAUUAUAGGCAUUGUAGAUAUAAUAUAAAUUAUAUUAUAUAUUACAUUGCAUUAUAUAUAUAAUUUUAUCAUCACCUAUCAUGGCAGGGAUGGGGAACAAACACAAUGGGUAAAGAUAAAUCGAAUGACUCAGAGAAGAGAAACAGUCCAAGUUGGGGAGGAUAACAAUUAACAUUUUCUGAGCACUUAGUAUGUGCUAAAUUAAUCAGUAGUUCAGUGGGAGCGAAUUUACAAUCAGGCCAAGCAUCAGGGUGUCAGCACCAUCCCUACUCACAGAUGAGAAAAGCUACCCUUAACAGGCAAAGUGAUUUCCUGAGAUGGGACAGUGACCCAAUCCAUGCAGAGGCCACCUCAGGUCACUGCACCCCACCCCAGGCUACCCUAUACUUAGGAAGAGAGCAGCAAUCAGUUGCCUGACCAUGGAGGCAGGGCUGAUGGCUAAGAAGAGAGAAGAGGUACAAGCAAGGUAGGCGCUAGUGUGGACGUGGACACAAGUCCUGGAAGAUGGCUGCGGUCAUCACAAUGAAGUGUGUGAGGAAGCUACCUGCUGGGGAUUUUGGGGGGGGGGUCAGAAGAGGGAGGAGAGUGAGCUUUUGGGGCUGGGGGUGUCAGCUGGAGGGGUUAAAUCUGGGUGCUCUAGAGCCAGACUGCCCGGCUCCAAAGCCAGCUGGACGGCUGGAGCCUGUCAUCGUUUAAGUGAGAUUGACAGCAGUAGCAGCUCUAGGGUGCUGCGAGAUAAUGGAUGGGAAGAAGGGCCAGCACCUGGCCCGCCAUUGUGCGAGCCAUUGUGGAGAUGCAGGGAAGUUUGUGGCUCUCGCUGCUGCGGAGAAAAGGAGCCUGCGGAACACAAUAGCCCAGCGUAGUGCUGUGGGCCCCAGCUCGGGCAUUGUAGUCAUUAAUUAUUCUGAUUGCUGUUGAUCAUUUCCAUCUGUUCUCCCGCAGCCCUCGGAACAAAACCUCCUUUAUCCUCCCUGUCACAUGGCACCCGAGUCCGUUAUUUGCAUAUCCGUCUCUCUCACUAAAUAGAGCAGUUCCUCAAACAUCAAUGUUGGCUGGGCGGCUGAUGGGUUGGUUGGCUGCUAGGGUGUGGGGAGUACUAAUUAUCCCCAACGUCUAUUCUCCCUCUCUUCCUCAGUAACAGGAUCCCAUGAUUUUAAGCUGGACAGGUGGCCUCUUGGGAUAACAAUUCAUUUCCCAAGCUCCCUCAUCACUUACAUGGUGCGGCAAAGUUCUAGCCCAUGGGAUGUGAGCAGAACUAUUAUGUCCAACUUCUAGAAAGUGUUCUUCGAAACAAAGUGUUGGGCUGGGCAUGUAGUUCAGUGGGAGAGAACUUUGCCUAACGUGCACAAGGCCAUAAUAAGGAAAGUGUGGUUAAAAGUAGGGUAAAGGGCAGCAGGAUGGCUCGGUGGGUAAAGGAACCUGCACCAUGCCCAACCGUAGGAGUUCCGUCUCUGAGCCUCAUGCAGUGGAAGGAGAGAACCAACUCACAAGCCAUCCUCUAACCUACACACACACACACACACACACACACACACACACACACACACAGUGUGCGGGGAGGGGGAGGUUAUUAUAACCUUUUUGUUGUUGUUGCCUUCCUUCUCCUUAAUGACUAUAAUGUAGACUCAAUGACUAGACCUCAAGGGACUAUUUUAGAACAUGAGCUACCAUGUGGAGAAAGGAAUAUGCCAGAAACAGCCUGGGCUCUGACCCUGUGGAUACCUAAGCAAGUAAGCAAGCAAGCAACUUCUGCCUUAUGGAAGUCGCUGUCUUUCAUGGAUUUUCUAUAAUUCAUGCCCAAACCUAAUCCUAGAAAUAGUAUGAAUUUUCAAGGUCUUGAAAUGCAGAACUUACAUCCCCAUUUGGGUUUGGACUUUGAUAGUCAUGGCUGUGGUCUUCAGCAGCUGUAAGCACCAGGUAGGAACUGGCUUCUGCUGUCAUUUUCCACUCAUGUGGAACUGAAGCCUGGAAAUCGUUAUCAUGGCUACUUCAGGGAGUUGUCCCUUCUGUGGCUCUCUGGACAGAAAUUGGAUUACCCCAAGAGACAUAGUAUUCAGGGAACAUUCAGUACCCACAAACUGGCAAGGGUUUUGCCAGGAGUGUUUGGCAGCAGGAAGUCGGGGGUGGGAGAGGAGUGGGCAGGGGAGGGGGAAUGGGGACAUGUCAGCGCACCAGUCUCUGGAGAAGUAGCUCGUCUCUGAGAGAGCAGCCAAGACUUCAAGCCAGGAUGCAGCAAGACAGACUUAGACAUCACAGGGUCAGUUAAGAACCUCUCUGGACAGUCAUGAAGAAGAGUGAAAUUGUGACAUUUACAGGAGAGGGACAUCAUCAUGUUAAGCCAAAUAAAUCAGACUCGCAAAAUAAGUCAGACUCACAAAAUAGCUCUGUUUUUUUCAGAUGCAGAAUCUAGGGGUGUGUGUGUGUGUGUGUGUGUGUGUGUGUGUGUGUGUGUGACACAGAGAGAGGGAGACAGACAGACAGACAGACAGACAGACACAGAGAGACAGAAGCAGAGAGAGACAGAGACAGAGAGAUGGAGACAAGGGGGUAGAAGGGAAACUAUGUAGGGGAGAGGCAGGGGAGGGAUUUAAAGAAAGAAAAACAAGGAAAUAAGAAAGAAUAGUAGAAAUAAAAGGCAAAUAUCCCAAGCUGGGCAGCUAUGGUGGCACACACCUUUAGUCCCAAGUACAGGUAGAUGUAGGCAGAACUCUGUGAGUUCGAGGCCAGCCUAUUCUACAAAGUGAGUUCCAGGACAGCUAGGGCUACACAGAAAAACCCUGUCUCAAUGAACCAGAGAAAAAGAAAAAGGUGAAAUCCCACAUUCUCUCAUAUAUGGAACAUGAUUUAAAUAUAUACAUACACACAUGGAUACAUAUGACACAAAAUCAGAAUGGAGACAGUUUAGAAAAAGAAAAGGGACCAGGAUGAAGGACAAACGAGUGUAACGGGGGGUGGGGUGGGGUGGCUAAUACAGGCAAGGUAAAAUGCUAUACCAGUCUUAAAUUAGAAGAGAUCCACCUGCCUUUGCUUCAUGACACCAUAUUUCUAAACAUCUAAAACAACAACAAGAUCACCUUUUCUUUGGUCCCGUGGGUCUGAGGAAGGCUUUUCUGCAUACGCUGUACGUUUUUUUUUUUUUUUUUUUUUUUUGUAGUCCAGGAGGCUGGGGCUGGGAAAACAGGGGCAGUAGGAAAAGCUAAUUCUGUUUUCUGUGAGAGUCUCAGAUGACUCCGAGGCUAAGCCUCAAAGGGUCGGGGCGGGGGUGGGGGUCAGUCUCGCGCUGUUCAUCUCAGUAGCCUGGUACCUACACAGUACUUGACAAGUAAGUGUAACAAGGACCCCGUAAGCAGGUAAGCAGGGAUGAGGGGUAGAGGCGAUGGGACUGGAAAGUUCAGUCUCACUGAUGAUGGGCAUCUGAAAGCAUCCACAGACGAGCCUCAGAAAGAAGGGGCAGUACACCCGAACUCCACCCAAGCAGCUAACUCAGAGCACGCUGACAGGCACCGGCUUUACAUUUAUGAGUUUGUUCGCUCUGUGCAUGGGUGUGUGCCGCAGCGCAAAUAUGGAGAUCGUGAGAGAGCUUGCAGGAGUUGGUCCUCCCCUUCCAUCAUGGGUUCCAGGGACUAGGCUCGGGCUGUGAGAUUUGAUAGCAGGCAGCCCUCUCGCUGGCGAUGCCCUGCCGUUUUUUUAAAACCAAAGUACAGGCUAGCGAGCAGAAAAA